ACGCAGCUGCGCAGUGCGCACAGAGCGAACUAUUCUUUCGCCUUUUACUAAAGAAUACCGUGUGUGCUCUGCACAUAGCAGCAUACGCUUAUUUUUGGAGGGGAUCCUUCUUUUUGGGGGGCCCCACAAUUCAAAACUGAAUAUUUUUAAAUAUUUGAUUUAAAAUAUAUUAUUGUGGAUGCAAUUAGAAAGUAUAUUGUAUUUAAAUGUUUAUGCUAUUUGUCCUUUUUUGCAAGGUCGAUCGACUCGAUCUUUUUUUCGAUUUUAGAGGUAAGGAUGUUGUUACCUGCCUGCCUCUGCCAAAUAACGUGAGAUCUGAUCAUCAGAUUACCGUUUAACUAGGGCAUAAAAUUUUCUAUGCAACCAUCGAAUUGGAGCACCAAAACAAAUAGAUUUUACAUCGUUCGCCAGAGCCCCGCUAAAUCAGAUUAAAAAAAAAAGGAGCAUGAAAUCGUUGGGAACGAGAUGCCAUCCCAUUCUUGCCGAUGCUUUUUGAGUGUUAAGGUGGCAAGAACGAGCACCGGAGGGGAGGGGAGGGGACAGUGGAUCAUGGAAGGGGACGACGGAGGAGGAAAAGACUGAACUUCUACUUGCUCCCUGUUUGUUGCUCAGAUAAUUGCGUUAGGAGUUCCCUCUCCAACGCUUUUUUGGUGCUCCACUUCAACAUAUUUGGGUUUUAUAUAUUUCAUUAGAAACUGGUUUAUCAUGCAGAAA
This is a long non-coding RNA of Zea mays, 714 nucleotides long. RefSeq lists it as uncharacterized. The record is from RefSeq and is a predicted model, not a curated record. The transcript is spliced from 2 exons. NCBI's taxonomy places the organism in Eukaryota, Viridiplantae, Streptophyta, Magnoliopsida, Poales, Poaceae.